RNAcentral lists this ribosomal RNA (440 nucleotides) under uncultured bacterium. RNAcentral's name for it is "partial 16S ribosomal RNA". It matches the Rfam family "Bacterial small subunit ribosomal RNA", at positions 338 to 795 of the family's 1533-position model. The record is from RNAcentral.
CCUACGGGAGGCAGCAGUGGGGAAUAUUGCUCAAUGGGCGGAACCCUGAUGCAGCAACGCCGCGUGGGUGAAGAAGUACUUCGGUAUGUAAAGCCCUGUCAGCAGGGAAGAAAAUGACGGUACCUGACCAAGAAGCCCCGGCUCACUACGUGCCAGCAGCCGCGGUAAUACGUAGGGGGCAAGCGUUAUCCGGAUUUACGGGGUGUAAAGGGAGUGUAGACGGGAAGGCAAGUCUGGCGGGAAAGCCCGUGGCUCAACCACGGGACUGCUGUGGAAACUGUGUUGCUGGAGUGGAGGAGGGGUAAGCGGAAUUCGUAGUGUAGCGGUGAAAUGCAUAGAUAUUAGGAGGAACUCCGGUGGCGAAGGCGGCUUACUGGACUGUAACUGACGUUGAGGCACGAAGGCGUGGGGAGCAAACAGGAUUAGAUACCCUAGUAGUC